UGCGGUUUAUGUAUAACGACUGCCUGCGAGCAUCUGAUUUUGGGUGGAAUAGGAAGUAGGACUUUGGUUCUAUUUUGUUGGUUUCUAGGAACGAAGUAAUGAUUAAUAGGGAUAGUUGGGGGCAUUAGUAUUUAAUUGUCAGAGGUGAAAUUCUUGGAUUUGUGAAAGACUAACUUCUGCGAAAGCAUUUGCCAAGGAUGUUUUCAUUAAUCAAGAACGAAAGUUAGGGGAUCGAAGACGAUCAGAUACCGUCGUAGUCUUAACCAUAAACUAUGCCGACUAGGGAUCGGACGACGUUACUUAUUUUGACUCGUUCGGCACCUUAUGAGAAAUCAAAGUUUUUGGGUUCCGGGGGGAGUAUGGUCGCAAGGCUGAAACUUAAAGGAAUUGACGGAAGGGCACCACCAGGAGUGGAGCCUGCGGCUUAAUUUGACUCAACACGGGGAAACUCACCAGGUCCAAUCGGAUCCC
This 471-nucleotide ribosomal RNA is filed under the name uncultured fungus. RNAcentral's name for it is "bacterial SSU rRNA". It matches the Rfam family "Eukaryotic small subunit ribosomal RNA", at positions 770 to 1236 of the family's 1831-position model. The record is from RNAcentral. Lineage: Eukaryota; Fungi.